AAACUUUUAGUAUAAUUUUAGUAUUUUUAAUUGCAGAUUAAAGGGUUUAGAGGUUUUA
This 58-nucleotide transfer RNA is filed under the name Zoniolaimus dendrolagi. RNAcentral describes it as "tRNA-Cys". The record is from RNAcentral. Lineage: Eukaryota; Metazoa; Nematoda; Chromadorea; Rhabditida; Strongylidae.